UACGAAGGGUGCUAGCGUUGUUCGGAAUUACUGGGCGUAAAGCGCGCGUAGGCGGUCAUUCAAGUCAGAGGUGAAAUCCCUGGGCUCAACCCAGGAAUUGCCUUUGAAACUGUAUGACUGGAGUGUCGGAGGGGAUAGCGGAAUUCCUAAUGUAGAGGUGAAAUUCGUAGAUAUUAGGAGGAACACCGGUGGCGAAGGCGGCUCUCUGGACCGAGACUGACGCUGAGGCGCGAAAGCGUGGGGAGCAAACAGG
This 253-nucleotide ribosomal RNA is filed under the name uncultured bacterium. Its description in RNAcentral is "partial 16S ribosomal RNA". It matches the Rfam family "Bacterial small subunit ribosomal RNA", at positions 524 to 776 of the family's 1533-position model. The record is from RNAcentral.